This 1403-nucleotide ribosomal RNA is filed under the name uncultured organism. RNAcentral describes it as "SSU rRNA". It matches the Rfam family "Bacterial small subunit ribosomal RNA". The record is from RNAcentral.
UGCUUAACACAUGCAAGUCAACUUGAACUUCCGCUUGGAAGGGGGACGGGUGAGUAACGCGUAAAGAACUUGCCUCACAGAUAGGGACAACAUUUGGAAACGAAUGCUAAUAUCUAAUAUUAUGAUUUUAGGGCAUCCUAGGAUUAUGAAAGCUACAUGCGCUGUGAGAGAGCUUUGCGUCCCAUUAGCUAGUUGGAGAGGUAACGGCUCACCAAGGCGAUGAUGGGUAGCCGGCCUGAGAGGGUGAUCGGCCACAAGGGGACUGAGACACGGCCCUUACUCCUACGGGAGGCAGCAGUGGGGAAUAUUGGACAAUGGACCAAGAGUCUGAUCCAGCAAUUCUGUGUGCACGAUGAAGUUUUUCGGAAUGUAAAGUGGUGGGGGGUGGGAAGAAAAAAAUGACGGUACCAACAGAAGAAGUGACGGCUAAAUACGUGCCAGCAGCCGCGGUAAUACGUAUGUCACAAGCGUUAUCCGGAUUUAUUGGGCGUAAAGCGCGUCUAGGUGGUUAUGUAAGUCUGAUGUGAAAAUGCAGGGCUCAACUCUGUAUUGCGUUGGAAACUGUGUAACUAGAGUACUGGAGAGGUAAGCGGAACUACAAGUGUAGAGGUGAAAUUCGUAGAUAUUUGUAGGAAUGCCGAUGGGGAAGCCAGCUUACUGGACAGAUACUGACGCUGAAGCGCGAAAGCGUGGGUAGCAAACAGGAUUAGAUACCCUGGUAGUCCACGCCGUAAACGAUGAUUACUAGGUGUUGGGGGUCGAACCUCAGCGCCCAAGCAAACGCGAUAAGUAAUCCGCCUGGGGAGUACGUACGCAAGUAUGAAACUCAAAGGAAUUGACGGGGACCCGCACAAGCGGUGGAGCAUGUGGUUUAAUUCGACGCAACGCGAGGAACCUUACCAGCGUUUGACAUCUUAGGAAUGAGACAGAGAUGUUUCAGUGUCCCUUCGGGGAAACCUAAAGACAGGUGGUGCAUGGCUGUCGUCAGCUCGUGUGGGGAGAAAAAAAUUAAGUCCCGCAACGAGCGCAACCCCUUUCGUAUGUUACCAUCAUUAAGUUGGGGACUCAUGCGAUACUGCCUGCGAUGAGCAGGAGGAAGGUGGGGAUGACGUCAAGUCAUCAUGCCCCUUAUACGCUGGGCUACACACGUGCUACAAUGGGUAGUACAGAGAGUCGCAAAGCCGUGAGGUGGAGCUAAUCUCAGAAAACUAUUCUUAGUUCGGAUUGUACUCUGCAACUCGAGUACAUGAAGUUGGAAUCGCUAGUAAUCGCGAAUCAGCAAUGUCGCGGUGAAUGGGUUCUCGGGUCUUGUACACACCGCCCGUCACACCACGAGAGUUGGUUGCACCUGAAGUAGCAGGCCUAACUUUAAGGGGGGAUGCUCCGAGGGUGUGAUUAGCGAU